Molecule: long non-coding RNA, 725 nt
Organism: Mustela lutreola (European mink)
Lineage: Eukaryota; Metazoa; Chordata; Mammalia; Carnivora; Mustelidae
Exons: 2
Source: RefSeq, a predicted model, not a curated record
UGACCUUAUUCUGAGUAUCGCAGUAACUUUUUUUGUGUAUGUACUUAGCCGUACUAUAAUUAGUUGGUUUGGGUGAGAUGAUUAAAAAGGGGCUGAAGAUAAAAGGUUUCUUUUUAAUCCUCUUCCGGUGCAAGAAGUUGAUGUUUGCUUUUCUCGUGUUUGUUCUAUGUGUGAAACAAUGUUGUUCAACAAUGAGCAGGAGUUUUGUUUUGCUGAGUUGUUCUAACAACAACGACAACAACAACAACAACUAAAAGCAGGCACAGGUGUCGUAAUCUCUCUGGAUGGUUUCUUCCUCGGGAAGGAGUGACUCAAUUCUUUGGGCUGACUUGGGGCUCACACGGCACUUGCUGGGGCUGUUUUCCCGACAGAAAAUGCUAGAAGAAAUUCUGUCGACAGGUGUUGGAGCUCUGACGUGAAAGGGGGACACUCGGAUACCGCUGCGGGAGAAACUGCAGGAGGCUGCCAACACCCCUGGGACCGGGAACAGCGGGAAGAGCCCAUAGAUCUCUGAUAGGAGCCUUUUAAAGCCAUCUGUCCACUUCGAGAGAGUUGACUUGAUGAAAGGUGGACAGUUGCAAAUCCAGGGGCCCAGCAAAGCCAAACUACCAUACAUUGAAACCCCAGUGGGAGACGGCAGUUGCCAUGAACCCCUCUACGCCAUGGUCACCUUACCCCAGACAACCUGGAGGUCAGUUUGUAAAUUAAACAUUUGUAAAGCUUUA